AGAGUUUGAUCAUGGCUCAGGAUGAACGCUAGCUACAGGCUUAACACAUGCAAGUCGAGGGGCAGCAUGGUCUUAGCUUGCUAAGGCCGAUGGCGACCGGCGCACGGGUGAGUAACACGUAUCCAACCUGCCGUCUACUCUUGGACAGCCUUCUGAAAGGAAGAUUAAUACAAGAUGGCAUCAUGAGUCCGCAUGUUCACAUGAUUAAAGGUAUUCCGGUAGACGAUGGGGAUGCGUUCCAUUAGAUAGUAGGCGGGGUAACGGCCCACCUAGUCUUCGAUGGAUAGGGGUUCUGAGAGGAAGGUCCCCCACAUUGGAACUGAGACACGGUCCAAACUCCUACGGGGCGCAGCAG
Molecule: ribosomal RNA, 355 nt
Filed under: uncultured bacterium
Lineage: Bacteria
Description: bacterial SSU rRNA
Rfam family: Bacterial small subunit ribosomal RNA
Source: RNAcentral